UCACGGUUCGAAUUACGUCUCGGCUCAGGUCAGAACUUGUUUUUGGAGUGUAUUGGUUCAGUUUUGGUUGGUUCAAAAAUGCUUCGGAUUCGAUUCAAGCUCGACAAAAUUCUGGGUUGGUUCGUGUUCGGUGUUCGAGUCAAAGAUCGGUCAACAUAAGUCAACAGCGGUCAACCGUAGUCAACGACAAUUAACUCGGUCAACACUUGGUCAACUGAGGGAAAACUUAGUCAACACAACCCGGAAUACUAUAGAUGCACGCUAGCGAGUUCACAUUCUUGGAAUGACAUCACGGAAUCACGUUAAGCUAGCUUUGCACAGGAAUAUUCAGGAAUACUAUAGAUGCACGCUAGCGAGUUCACAUUCUUGGAAUGACAUCACGGAAUCACGUUAA
Molecule: long non-coding RNA, 394 nt
Filed under: Helianthus annuus (common sunflower)
Lineage: Eukaryota; Viridiplantae; Streptophyta; Magnoliopsida; Asterales; Asteraceae
Description: hypothetical non coding rna
Source: RNAcentral